AUGGGACUAGGCAGAGUUUUGUGUUACUUUACUCUAGUAAUCUUCAUUCAAUAUUCCUGCAGUCAGACACUGAUCGAGUCUGAUCCAGUGAUCAUCAAACCUGAUCAGUCUCAUAAACUGACCUGCACAGCCUCUGGAUUUACCUUUAGUAGCUAUUACAUGGCUUGGAUCAGACAGGCACCUGGAAAAGGGCUGGAAUGGGUUGCAACUAUCUCAGUAUUGCAGUAGUUACAUAUAUUACUCCAGUGCUGUUAAGGGCCGCUUCACCAUCUCCAGAGACAACAGUAAGAAGCAGGUGUAUCUACAGAUGAACAGCAUGAGGACAGAAGACACUGCAGUUUAUUACUGCGCCCGUGAACCACAGUGAUACUUCCCCUUAGACAUCAGUACAAAAACACAGACUUACCAUUGACACAUGAAAAGAUCACAGUCUGUUACAAACAAUAUUACAAAAUUUAAACUUUAAUUUUUAAAUUUUUAUUGCAUAUUUCUUUUCUUUUUUAAAGCUUUGAGAAAAUAUCCAUUGUUAAAUGUGUUAUAUAAAUAAAGUGAAUUAAAUUGACAGAUUAAAAACUAUGGAAGUAGAUGUUCACAAAUCUGGGGAAAAAAUUCAUAUUAAUUUCCCUAUUAAUUGAUUUGGUUAAACCAAAUGAUUUACUAUGUUACUGCUGAUACUGUGUCUGAGUGUGUUCUCUCUUUUAAACCUUUCUGAUAAAAAAUACUCCAAGUCUGAA
Tachysurus fulvidraco (yellow catfish) is the source of this 734-nucleotide long non-coding RNA. RefSeq lists it as uncharacterized. The transcript is spliced from 2 exons. NCBI's taxonomy places the organism in Eukaryota, Metazoa, Chordata, Actinopteri, Siluriformes, Bagridae. The record is from RefSeq and is a predicted model, not a curated record.